AUUGAACGCUGGCGGCAGGCCUAACACAUGCAAGUCGAGCGGAUGAAGGGAGCUUGCUCCUGGAUUCAGCGGCGGACGGGUGAGUAAGGCCUAGGAAUCUGCGUGGCAGUGGGGGAUAACGUCCGGAAACGGGCGCUAAUACCGCAUACGUCCAGAGGGAGAAAGUGGGGGAUCUUCGGACCUCACGCUAUUAGAUGAUCCUAGGUCGGAUUAGCUAGUUGGUGGGGUAAAGGCCUACCAAGGCGACGAUCCGUAACUGGUCUGAGAGGAUGAUCAGUCACACUGGAACUGAGACACGGUCCAGACUCCUACGGGAGGCAGCAGUGGGGAAUAUUGGACAAUGGGCGAAAGCCUGAUCCAGCCAUGCCGCGUGUGUGAAGAAGGUCUUCGGAUUGUAAAGCACUUUAAGUUGGGAGGAAGGGCAGUAAGUUAAUACCUUGCUGUUUUGACGUUACCAAAAGAAUAAGCACCGGCUAACUUCGUG
Molecule: ribosomal RNA, 484 nt
Filed under: uncultured bacterium
Lineage: Bacteria
Description: partial 16S ribosomal RNA
Rfam family: Bacterial small subunit ribosomal RNA
Source: RNAcentral